AUGAUGGAAUUACUCACACACGGCGGUGAGCAUCAUGAAAUUGGUGAUGGAGCAAGGUUGAUGAUGACGAUGACGACGGAUUCCCCUCUCCGGAGCCCCGAACGGACUCCAGAUCAGCCCUUCCGAGAGAGUUUAGGGUUUGGGCGGCGGCUCCGUAUCGUAAAACGCGAUGAAUCCUUCUCUCUGAUUUUUUUUCUUCCCGAAACUGAAUAUAUGGAGUCAGGGUUGAGGUCGGUGGAGCGUCAGGGAGGCCACGAGGCAGGGGGCGCGCCUAGGGGGGUAGGGCGCGCCCCCACCCUCGUGAACAGGUGGUGGCCCCCUGACGUGGAUCUUUUUUCCAGUAUUUUUUAUAUAUUCCAAAAUAAUUCUCCAUUGAUUUUUAGGUCAUUCCGAGAACUUUUAUUUCUGCACAAAAAUAACACCAUGGCAAUUCUGCUGAAAACAGCGUCAGUCCGGAUUAGUUCCAUUCAAAUCAUGCAAGUUAGAGUCCAAAAUAAAGGCAAGAGUGUUUGGAAAAGUAGAUACGACGGAGACGUAUCAACUCCCCCAAGCUUAAACCUUUGUUUGUCCUCAAGCAAUUCAGUUGAUAAACUGAAAGUGAUAAAGAAAAAACUUUUACAAACUAUGUUUGCUCUUGUUGUUGUAAAUAUGUAA
RNAcentral lists this ribosomal RNA (654 nucleotides) under Triticum aestivum (bread wheat). RNAcentral's name for it is "partial small subunit ribosomal RNA". The record is from RNAcentral. Lineage: Eukaryota; Viridiplantae; Streptophyta; Magnoliopsida; Poales; Poaceae.